UAGAGUUUGAUCCUGGCUCAGAACGAACGCUGGCGGCGUGCCUAACACAUGCAAGUCGAACGAGAAAGGGGCUUCGGCCCUGAGUAAAGUGGCGCACGGGUGAGUAACACGUAGGUAACCUGCCUCUGAGAUUGGGAUAACUCGUCGAAAGAUGGGCUAAUACCAAAUAAGACCACGAAUUCUUUGGGAUCUGAGGUCAAAAGUAGCCUCUAUUAUAAGCUAUCACUUAGAGAUGGGCCUGCGCACCAUUAGCUAAUUGGUAGGGUAAACGCCUACCAAGGCAAAGAUGGUUANCUGGUCUGAAAGGAGAUCANCCACACUGGAACUGAAACACGGUCCAGACUCCUACGNNAAGCAGCAAUGGNGGAUAUUGCCCGAGGAGCCAAAGCCUUACGCCACCACGCCCCGUUAAUCAUGNAAGCCGUCGGGUCGAAAACCUUGNCUACGAGAAGAAUGACUUUAGGGAUACAGCGCCAGAAAUGACGGUGGGUCAGAGUAUGACCUAGUGGGUGGUUCUAAUAGACUCGUAGGAGGAGUAGGGAACGUGGGGGGAUGUGGCGAUGGAGAUGGGAGCGAGUGCGAGCAGGCGCACGAAGAGGGUAGGGAGAGGAGAGGGGAUGAGGAUGGUGAGGGUGAUGAGGGGAUAGGGAGGCAAUCGGUUUAGCCGAACAAUAGCGGAGUAGGAGGGCAGGACGGAAAGGGCGGGUGGGUGGAGGGAUAUGACGGGUUGGGAGAAGAGAGAGGAGGGGCGCUACCGGCGCGUCGGGGGGGGAUGGGGCGGGCCGGUGGACGGGGGGGGAGGAUGGCGUUGUGGGGC
RNAcentral lists this ribosomal RNA (817 nucleotides) under uncultured delta proteobacterium. Its description in RNAcentral is "bacterial SSU rRNA". The stretch from base 3 to 516 matches the Rfam family "Bacterial small subunit ribosomal RNA", at positions 9 to 546 of the family's 1533-position model. The record is from RNAcentral. Lineage: Bacteria; Deltaproteobacteria.